Molecule: unclassified non-coding RNA, 2618 nt
Filed under: Limulus polyphemus (Atlantic horseshoe crab)
Lineage: Eukaryota; Metazoa; Arthropoda; Merostomata; Xiphosura; Limulidae
Description: 1,2-dihydroxy-3-keto-5-methylthiopentene dioxygenase- like, transcript variant X1
Source: RNAcentral
UAAGAAGGGAGAAAACACAAGGAAAUAAUGGUGAAUGCAUGGUAUAUGGAUGACUCCAAUGCUGAUCAGAAAUUAGAACAUCAUUUGAAUCCUCCUCAGUUUAUUAGCAUUAAAGAACUUUAUGAAAACUGUGGAGUUAUUUAUUAUCAAUUAGAUGCUGAUAACUAUGAUGCAGAAGGAAAAUUGGAAAAGAUCAAGAAAGACAAGGGUUAUAACUAUGAAGAUGAGAUUCAGCUGUCGCGAAAUAAACUACCUGAUUAUGAGGAAAAGUUGAAGAUAUUUUAUAAAGAACAUCUGCACUCUGAUGAAGAGGUUCGAUUCUUUUUGGAUGGUAGUGGCUAUUUUGAUGUAAGGGACAAGAAUGAUAAAUGGGUGAGGAUUCAGUCAGAAAAGGGGGACUUGCUUGUUCUUCCUGCAGGAAUUUAUCAUCGCUUUACACUUGAUACAAAUAACUCUUCCAUCUGGUGUCAAGACAGUUCACCAACAGUCUUCUCUGCUCACUCUAGUUUCCAACAUAUUUAGGUCCAAGGAGAUCCAGCAGGAUUUUAAAACUUGUGAGCCUAGUUGGGUCUCUUCCCCUGUUGAGCCAGUCAUCGAGGGGCUCAGAGAUACUGAACAUGGAGGAAAAAAAAAGAAAUUGACUGAGGUCUUCUGUGAUUACGAACUGAAAAGGAGUUUCAGAAGUCUGUCGUUGAUCAACUUUUUGGCUGAGUUUAAGAAAUAUGUAUCCUAUGCUGGCAGAAAAAGCUACCGCAGUUUUGUUACUGUUUUCCACAACAUAGUUACAAAAAAUAUUCAUUUAUUAGUUAGCCAGGCCAUAUUUUUUGUUCAACUUGGGGCAUGAUAGUGUGGUGUAGCUAACUAUGGAUGGAUAUUUGCUGUAAAAUUAUUAUCAAUGCUUUAAGUGUAGCUGUCAGUUUGGCCAUCAGUUUUGAUUUCAUUCCUUUAAGUCACACACUGUAUCCUUUUUUGACCACACCCUUUUUUUCAUGCCUAAGGUAUUUUUAAUCAGAUAUUAUGACUUUUUGUCAAUACACACCAACAAAUCCCAGCAAGUAAGAAAGUGCCACUCAGUAGUAACCAAAAUUAACUUUAGGAUCAUAAUCCUAUUAUUUGGAGUAGACCUAUACUUUACAGAACAAACCAGAUUCCUUAAAAUAUGUGGUAGUAAUUUUCCUCUCUAAAACAGAGUCAAUAACAUCCUUUAUAGUAAUGCCAUGGAAUCAAGAUUAACAGUUUCUUGUCAUCACCCACAUGUACUUGGUAUAGCUGUAUCAAGCAUCAUUAUUUAUGAUAAUUGCAUAAGCUAAUUUCACAUGACACUAAAUGCUCUUUAAUUAGGAUAAUUUGAUAAAAUUUAGCAAAUUUGUGCAUAUAAGUUGGCAAUGAAUAAUAACCAUCCACCCAUAUGAUUCUUUUGAAAACUUCAGCUAGAAACUGCUAAUCUAGUUUGCUUGGCCUAACACCAAUAUUUAUGCAUCUGCACAUACUUUCACCCUAUAGUUUUGCUAUAAAUCAGCUGUAUUUAAUCCAAGUGACAAAAACUAAAAACAUUCCACUUUUACUCUUAGGUGAAGCUGAAGUAAAACUUUUAGACCCAUAGCUCAAGUGAGUUUUUGCAUGAGUGGUUUUGGUUGAAUAACUUUGCACAUGUGGCUUAUAUGUAGACCAAAUUUGACACCUAAUUGUAGGAUGUAAAGAUCUGUCAGUGAACCACAUUUGAAAAGAAUCCAUAAAAGUUAAGUAUGUUUUUUAAUCAAAUAAAAUUUCUGUACUUUCGGUGCAAAGAAGAAAUUCAAUCAGAAUUGGACAUUUUAUAUCUCCUGUCUUUCUUAAUGGAUUGCCUUGAAAUUUGGUAUGUGAAGUAAGGGUCCAGUAGAGCACAUACACUGAAAAUAUUUUUGUUUGGCUUUUUGUUUUUAAUUUUUUCUUUUGGAUGGAAUAUACAAGAUAGUUUGCAAACAUAAAACUUUGAAAAGAUGUAAUAUGAUCUAUGAAUUCAUCGUAAUCAUCAUUCAAUUACAAUUUUUUUUGGUAAUGUUUUAUUAAAGCAAUUGAAAUAAAUGUAUGAUGCUUCAUAAUUAUAAAUACUUCUAAAUGUGUUUCAAAAUAUCCACCAUAAAAUUGUGUGUAUAUAUAUAUGGAAAAGUUUUUGUUUUAAAUGAAACAAAAUACACGAUUGUAAUUAGAAGCUUGAGCUAUAGUUAAAUUUUUGUCGUGAAUGUUGCCUUAAAACUUCUUUUCUCAUCCAUUUAUAGAAUUAUGCAAAAGUCAUUAGAUUUUUCAGUGGUGAGCCAUGUUGGAAACCCAAUAAUAGACCAUCUGAUGACCAUCCAGCAAGACAGAAGUACCUGAAACAAUUAGCUGAAGGAUUUCAUGAAUGCCCUUUAUAAAAACCAGAAAUUAUUUUUAUUUGAAUUAAAUGAUGAUAAAAAUAGAUUUCACAUGUUUUAUUUUUCUUACUAAGCUUCAGUUUUUAAUGCAGUUUUUAUAAUAUGUCAACGAAUCACUUAAAGUCAGUUAGAAUAAACCUUUCUUUCAGUUAUGUUACUUAUAAAACUUCAGUUAAGUUACAUAAAAAAAAGAAACAUAAUAAAUAAUCCUUAUUAAGUAUCAAA